This 424-nucleotide ribosomal RNA is filed under the name uncultured bacterium. Its description in RNAcentral is "bacterial SSU rRNA". It matches the Rfam family "Bacterial small subunit ribosomal RNA", at positions 356 to 773 of the family's 1533-position model. The record is from RNAcentral.
AGGGAAUCUUCCGCAAUGGACGCAAGUCUGACGGAGCAACGCCGCGUGAGUGAUGAAGGUUUUCGGAUCGUAAAGCUCUGUUGCCAGGGAAGAACGUCUUCUGGAGUAACUGCCAAGAGAGUGACGGUACCUGAGAAGAAAGCCCCGGCUAACUACGUGCCAGCAGCCGCGGUAAUACGUAGGGGGCAAGCGUUGUCCGGAAUUAUUGGGCGUAAAGCGCGCGCAGGCGGCUGUUUAAGUCUGGUGGUUAAUCCUGGGGCUCAACCCCGGGUCGCACUGGAAACUGGACAGCUUGAGUGCAGAAGAGGAGAGUGGAAUUCCACGUGUAGCGGUGAAAUGCGUAGAGAUGUGGAGGAACACCAGUGGCGAAGGCGACUCUCUGGGCUGUAACUGACGCUGAGGCGCGAAAGCGUGGGGAGCAAAC